This 427-nucleotide ribosomal RNA is filed under the name uncultured bacterium. RNAcentral describes it as "partial 16S ribosomal RNA". It matches the Rfam family "Bacterial small subunit ribosomal RNA", at positions 355 to 774 of the family's 1533-position model. The record is from RNAcentral.
UGGGGAAUAUUGGACAAUGGGCGAAAGCCUGAUCCAGCCAUGCCGCGUGUGUGAAGAAGGUCUUCGGAUUGUAAAGCACUUUAAGUUGGGAGGAAGGGCAGUAAGUUAAUACCUUGCUGCUUUGACGUUACCGACAGAAUAAGCACCGGCUAACUCUGUGCCAGCAGCCGCGGUAAUACAGAGGGUGCAAGCGUUAAGCGGAAUUACUGGGCGUAAAGCGCGCGUAGGUGGUUUGUUAAGUUGGAUGUGAAAGCCCCGGGCUCAACCUGGGAACUGCAUCCAAAACUGGCAAGCUAGAGUACGGUAGAGGGUGGUGGAAUUUCCUGUGUAGCGGUGAAAUGCGUAGAUAUAGGAAGGAACACCAGUGGCGAAGGCGACCACCUGGACUGAUACUGACACUGAGGUGCGAAAGCGUGGGGAGCAAACA